UGCAGGAAGAAUGCCUCCCACUAUGAAAAUGGAAAAGCAUUAAGGAAGCACGACCCAGCUCGGCCCUUUCUGUUGGAAUUGGUGAGGUGGGAGUGACUGAGACAUAAACCUCGCCCCUGAGGAAGGUCUGAUCCUGUGAGCAAGAAAGGCAGUGAGUAAGUACUUACCAGAUUGGCAAAUGUUACGAAGGGAGGGAGUCCCGGUAGUGCAUCUUCGCCCAUCUCCUCCGGGAGUCAGAAAAAGCUUCUCUGAGGAAAGAGGCGGAAGAGAAAAGUGACGAAGCGAGGCUGCAGCCAUUCUGCAAAGUGCCUAGGAAGGGACAUGAAUUUGCUGAAGGAAGAGAAUGUGAGGCCGCUAAAGGAGGGGCUCCUGGAAGAGAAAGCAGGGUGCUGUGGCUUGCUCCUCAAAAGAGUCAGAGCCCUGGUGCCUGAGAGCGGGCGCUCUCACACAGAAACAGGAGCUUCUUUUCUCUUGGAUUCACUGCAGGUGCCCUUACCCAAAAAAGGGUCACCUCGCCUCCUGUUCCAUGGCAGCCUUUGCAUCGUGCUGUUUGGUCCAAGGAAGCACAGCCUGAAUCUGUAGAGGGCAGGAUCUGAGGACGACCUUGCAAGCUGUGUGUACAGAGGUUUGAGCCCCCAAGAUAACAGGAGUUUCCUCACACAGGAAUGUUCUGCCAUGACCAGGAGCUUCCCAUGAAGCUCAAUUUCAUCCCCAAAUCCCUUGGUUGGAAUUAUAUAUGGAGAAUGACUCUGCCCCAGGGAAAUCUUAAGUGCUAGAAAUAGGCUUUAAAAGUUGCUCCAACACCUUUUCUCCCAUUCAGCUAGAAAUUAAAGACUGUCUCCUGUGAAUGAAAAGUUCCUGCAAGCUGGACAGGGCACAAAAGUUACCCCAAUAAGGAGUAUGGAGAGGGUUCACCCCCAGUUUCACUCUUGAUAACCCCAGCCCCAACAAGUUGCAAUCUCAUGAUAUCUGCCAUUAUUUAUUUUUAUGACAUUGAUCGCAUUGAUGAUGAGUGAAAUGAAAAAAAGAAAUCAUGGAAUCACAAGACUUGGAUAAUUCACACCCUAGAUGACCAGUCCUCAGGUCAUUGACACGGGACAGUUUUAAUGGCUCCACCCAUCUUGUGAGUAACGACUCCAGGUGCCAGCAGGUGAAGGUCUGGGCUCCUCAGCAGGGCAGACGAGUCUCACCUCUCUCCAGCCCCAUUGCCAUCACUCUCCUCCACAUGCACCUGCACACACCUGCAGGCCCAGGUCCUCAGCUAUGUACUCUACCUCUUCUCAGCUUUGGAAAUGUCUACUCAUCCUCUGUGGUGCAGUUAAAAUGUCUCCUUGGCGUGUUUUACAGAACUUCCGGACCAGAUUUUACGUAUUCUUCCUUUGUGGAAAGCACUGUGCUGAGAAAAAAAGAGGAAAGAAUCUUGCAUUGAAGUACCUAGCUUUGUUUGCUUUGUCUUUUAAUUUUAAAAAAUUAUAGUCGUGAUAAAAUACACAUAAAACUGACCAUUUGAACCACUUUGAGGUGUGUCGUUUGGUACUGUUAAUUAUACCCACAGUGCUGAAGCUUGGAUCUUUAGAACUUUUUUCUUCAUCUAGCAAAACAGCAACUCUGAGUCCAUGAACAAUAACUCUCCAGUCCCCUUUCCCCAGCCCUGGGCUACCAUUUGUCUGUUCAUCCAGUGAUGGAAAUUUAGUCGCUUCCACCUUUGUCUACUGUGAAUAAUGCUAUUAUGAACAUGAGUAUACAAAUAUCUCGUUAAGACUUUGCUUUCAAUUCUCCUGGAUAUAUAUUAGAAGCUGAUGAUAAUUCUUUUUUAUUUAAUUUCUGAGGAACCCCUUACUGUUACUCAUAGUGGCUGCACGAUUUUAUAUUUCUACUAACAGCGCACAAGGACGCCAACUUCUUGG
Long non-coding RNA from Heterocephalus glaber (naked mole-rat), 1907 nucleotides. Lineage: Eukaryota; Metazoa; Chordata; Mammalia; Rodentia; Bathyergidae. The record is from Ensembl.